AGAGUUUGAUCAUGGCUCAGAUUGAACGCUGGCGGCAGGCUUAACACAUGCAAGUCGAACGGUAACAGGAAGAAAGCUUGCUUUCUUUGCUGACGAGUGGCGGACGGGUGAGUAAUGCUUGGGAAUCUGGCUUAUGGAGGGGGAUAACUACGGGAAACUGUAGCUAAUACCGCGUAGUAUCGGAAGAUGAAAGUGUGGGACCGCAAGGCCACAUGCCAUGAGAUGAGCCCAAGUGGGAUUAGGUAGUUGGUUAGGUAAAGGCUGACCAAGCCGACGAUCUCUAGCUGGUCUGAGAGGAUGACCAGCCACACUGGAACUGAGACACGGUCCAGACUCCUACGGGAGGCAGCAGUGGGGAAUAUUGCACAAUGGGGGGAACCCUGAUGCAGCCAUGCCGCGUGAAUGAAGAAGGCCUUCGGGUUGUAAAGUUCUUUCGGUGAUGAGGAAGGUGUUUGUUUUAAUAGAACAAACAAUUGACGUUAGUCACAGAAGAAGCACCGGCUAACUCCGUGCCAGCAGCCGCGGUAAUACGGAGGGUGCGAGCGUUAAUCGGAAUAACUGGGCGUAAAGGGCACGCAGGCGGUGACUUAAGUGAGAUGUGAAAGCCCCGAGCUUAACUUGGGAAUUGCAUUUCAUACUGGGUCGCUAGAGUACUUUAGGGAGGGGUAGAAUUCCACGUGUAGCGGUGAAAUGCGUAGAGAUGUGGAGGAAUACCGAAGGCGAAGGCAGCCCCUUGGGAAUGUACUGACGCUCAUGUGCGAAAGCGUGGGGAGCAAACAGGAUUAGAUACCCUGGUAGUCCACGCUGUAAACGCUGUUGAUUUGGGGAUUGGGCUUUGAGCUUGGUGCCCGUAGCU
Molecule: ribosomal RNA, 856 nt
Filed under: uncultured bacterium
Lineage: Bacteria
Description: bacterial SSU rRNA
Rfam family: Bacterial small subunit ribosomal RNA
Source: RNAcentral